This is a non-coding RNA of Microcebus murinus (gray mouse lemur), 401 nucleotides long. The record is from RefSeq and is a predicted model, not a curated record. NCBI's taxonomy places the organism in Eukaryota, Metazoa, Chordata, Mammalia, Primates, Cheirogaleidae.
UUCCUGAUCUCAAGUGAUCUUCUUGCCUCAGCCUCCCAAGUAGCUGGGAUUACAAGCACACACCACCAUGCCCAUUUACAGUUUGUUUUUCCUGGACUAUUUACAAGCUGAAGAUGACUGAGUUGUUUUGUCUGAAGAUGUAUGUCUACACUGAACUAAUGACCUGGAAAUUAAAGGCUUUGAAAUACAUUCCCAACGCCCUGAUUCAUGGCCUUUUAGUAAUGCAACUAAUCUGAAGUCUUAAAAUUAACCGCCUCACAGUGAACUGGAAAGGGCAGUGCUGUGACUAUGUCACACUGCUGAUCUGGUCUGCCAGGAAAGAGAGCAACUCCGCGAGUGAAGAGGCAAGAUAAGCCUGGUAGCGCGGUUUCCAGAGUCCGCAAGAGGCAGGCCCAGGGCGG